Molecule: ribosomal RNA, 239 nt
Filed under: uncultured bacterium
Lineage: Bacteria
Description: partial 16S ribosomal RNA
Rfam family: Bacterial small subunit ribosomal RNA
Source: RNAcentral
GGUGGAGCAAAUCCCUAAAAGCCAUCCCAGUUCGGAUCGCAGGCUGCAACCCGCCUGCGUGAAGUUGGAAUCGCUAGUAAUCGCGGAUCAGCAUGCCGCGGUGAAUACGUUCCCGGGCCUUGUACACACCGCCCGUCACACCAUGAGAGUCGGGAACACCCGAAGUCCGUAGUCUAACCGCAAGGGGGGCGCGGCCGAAGGUGGGUCCGGUAAUUGGGGUGAAGUCGUAACAAGGUAAC